CGAGCGGCGAACGGGUGAGUAACACGUGGGUGAUCUGCCUUGCACUUCGGGAUAAGCCUGGGAAACUGGGUCUAAUACCGGAUAUGACCUCCGGAUGCAUGUUCUGGGGUGGAAAGAUUUAUCGGUGCGAGAUGGGCCCGCGGCCUAUCAGCUUGUUGGUGAGGUAACGGCUCACCAAGGCGACGACGGGUAGCCGACCUGAGAGGGUGACCGGCCACACUGGGACUGAGACACGGCCCAGACUCCUACGGGAGGCAGCAGUGGGGAAUAUUGCACAAUGGGCGAAAGCCUGAUGCAGCGACGCCGCGUGCGGGAUGACGGCCUUCGGGUUGUAAACCGCUUUUGACAGGGACGAAGCGCAAGUGACUGUACCUGUAGAAUAAGGACCGGCCAACUACGUGCCAGCAGCCGCGGUAAUACGUAGGGUCCGAGCGUUGUCCGGAAUUACUGGGCGUAAAGAGCUUGUAGGCGGUUCGUCGCGUCGUUUGUGAAAACUUGGGGCUCAACCUUAAGCUUGCAGGCGAUACGGGCGGACUAGAGUACUUCAGGGGAGACUGGAAUUCCUGGUGUAGCGGUGAAAUGCGCAGAUAUCAGGAGGAACACCGGUGGCGAAGGCGGGUCUCUGGGAAGUAACUGACGCUGAGAAGCGAAAGCAUGGGUAGCAAACAGGAUUAGAUACCCUGGUAGUCCAUGCCGUAAACGGUGGGUACUAGGUGUGGGGCUCCUUCCACGGACUCCGUGCCGUAGCUAACGCAUUAAGUACCCCGCCUGGGGAGUACGGCCGCAAGGCUAAAACUCAAAGAAAUUGACGGGGGCCCGCACAAGCGGCGGAGCAUGUGGAUUAAUUCGAUGCAACGCGAAGAACCUUACCUGGGUUUGACAUACACCAGAAAGCCGUAGAGAUACGGCCCCCCUUGUGGUUGGUGUACAGGUGGUGCAUGGCUGUCGUCAGCUCGUGUCGUGAGAUGUUGGGUUAAGUCCCGCAACGAGCGCAACCCUUAUCUUAUGUUGCCAGCGCGUAAUGGCGGGGACUCGUGAGAGACUGCCGGGGUCAACUCGGAGGAAGGUGGGGACGACGUCAAGUCAUCAUGCCCCUUAUGUCCAGGGCUUCACACAUGCUACAAUGGCCGGUACAGAGGGCUGCGAUACCGUGAGGUGGAGCGAAUCCCUUAAAGCCGGUCUCAGUUCGGAUCGGGGUCUGCAACUCGACCCCGUGAAGUUGGAGUCGCUAGUAAUCGCAGAUC
RNAcentral lists this ribosomal RNA (1244 nucleotides) under Nocardia ignorata. RNAcentral's name for it is "bacterial SSU rRNA". It matches the Rfam family "Bacterial small subunit ribosomal RNA", at positions 92 to 1350 of the family's 1533-position model. The record is from RNAcentral. Lineage: Bacteria; Bacillati; Actinomycetota; Actinomycetes; Mycobacteriales; Nocardiaceae.